RNAcentral lists this ribosomal RNA (219 nucleotides) under uncultured bacterium. RNAcentral's name for it is "partial 16S ribosomal RNA". It matches the Rfam family "Bacterial small subunit ribosomal RNA", at positions 109 to 334 of the family's 1533-position model. The record is from RNAcentral.
AGUAGCACGUGGGUACCUACCUUGAGGUGAGGAAUACCACCGAGAAAUCGGUGACAAGACCGCAUACGCUCGGCACCGAGCAAAGUCUCUUUUCGGAGGGACGCCCCAAGAUGGGCCUGCGCCUGAUUAGCUAGUUGGUGGGGUAAGAGCCUACCAAGGCCACGAUCAGUAGCUGGUCUGAGAGGAUGAUCAGCCACACUGGGAUUGAGAACGGCCCAG